This 459-nucleotide ribosomal RNA is filed under the name uncultured bacterium. Its description in RNAcentral is "bacterial SSU rRNA". It matches the Rfam family "Bacterial small subunit ribosomal RNA", at positions 338 to 793 of the family's 1533-position model. The record is from RNAcentral.
CCUACGGGAGGCAGCAGUGAGGAAUAUUGGACAAUGGAGGCAACUCUGAUCCAGCCAUGCCGCGUGCAGGAUGACGGCCCUAUGGGUUGUAAACUGCUUUUAUGUAGGAAGAAACACUCUCACGUGUGAGAGCUUGACGGUACUACAAGAAUAAGGACCGGCUAACUCCGUGCCAGCAGCCGCGGUAAUACGGAGGGUCCAAGCGUUAUCCGGAAUCAUUGGGUUUAAAGGGUCCGUAGGCGGGCUAUUAAGUCAGAGGUGAAAGUUUGCAGCUCAACUGUAAAAUUGCCUUUGAAACUGGUAGUCUUGAAUUAUUAUGAAGUGGUUAGAAUAAGUAGUGUAGCGGUGAAAUGCAUAGAUAUUACUUAGAAUACCAAUUGCGAAGGCAGAUCACUAAUAAUAUAUUGACGCUGAGGGACGAAAGCGUGGGGAGCGAACAGGAUUAGAUACCCCUGGUAG